UGGGGAAUUUUGGAUCAAUGGGCGCAAGCCUGAUCCAGCCAUGCCGCGUGCGGGAAGAAGGCCUUCGGGUUGUAAACCGCUUUUGUCAGGGAAGAAAUCUUCUGAGUUAAUACCUCGGGAGGAUGACGGUACCUGAAGAAUAAGCACCGGCUAACUACGUGCCAGCAGCCGCGGUAAUACGUAGGGUGCAAGCGUUAAUCGGAAUUACUGGGCGUAAAGCGUGCGCAGGCGGUUUUGUAAGACAGAGGUGAAAUCCCCGGCUCAACCUGGGAACUGCCUUUGUGACUGCAAGGCUUGAGUGCGGCAGAGGGGGAUGGAAUUCCGCGUGUAGCAGUGAAAUGCGUAGAUAUGCGGAGGAACACCGAUGGCGAAGGCAAUUCCCCUGGGCCUGCACUGACGCUCAUGCACGAAAGCGUGGGGAGCAAACAGGAUUAGAUACCCUGGUAGUCC
Molecule: ribosomal RNA, 450 nt
Filed under: uncultured bacterium
Lineage: Bacteria
Description: partial 16S ribosomal RNA
Rfam family: Bacterial small subunit ribosomal RNA
Source: RNAcentral